Molecule: small nuclear RNA, 76 nt
Filed under: Larimichthys crocea (large yellow croaker)
Lineage: Eukaryota; Metazoa; Chordata; Actinopteri; Sciaenidae
Source: RNAcentral
GUGCUUGCUCAGGCAGCACAUCUAAUAAAUUGGAUUCGAUACAGAGAAGAUUAGCAUGGCCCCUGCAAAAAGGAUG